Molecule: ribosomal RNA, 322 nt
Filed under: Bifidobacterium thermophilum
Lineage: Bacteria; Bacillati; Actinomycetota; Actinomycetes; Bifidobacteriales; Bifidobacteriaceae
Description: bacterial SSU rRNA
Rfam family: Bacterial small subunit ribosomal RNA
Source: RNAcentral
UGGGGGUCCGGGAAAGCUCUGGCGGCGUGGGAUGGGGUCGCGUCCUAUCAGCUUGUUGGCGGGGUGAGGGCCCACCAAGGCUUCGACGGGUAGCCGGCCUGAGAGGGCGACCGGCCACAUUGGGACUGAGAUACGGCCCAGACUCCUACGGGAGGCAGCAGUGGGGAAUAUUGCACAAUGGGCGCAAGCCUGAUGCACCGACGCCGCGUGCGGGAUGGAGGCCUUCGGGUUGUAAACCGCUUUUGUUUGGGAGCAAGCCCUUCGGGGUGAGUGUACCUUUCGAAUAAGCACCGGCCAACUACCUGCCAGCAGCCCCGGUAAU